GAUGAACGCUAGCGACAGGCUUAACACAUGCAAGUCGAGGGGCAGCGGGGGAGCAGCAAUGCUCCUGCCGGCGACCGGCGCACGGGUGAGUAACACGUAUGGAACCUGCCCGCAGCAGGGGGAUAAGCGGAAGAAAUUCCGUCUAAUACCGCGUAACACCGCGGAGGGGCAUCCCUCGGCGGUUAAAGAUUCAUCGGCUGCGGAUGGCCAUGCGGCGCAUUAGCUAGUCGGCGGGGUAACGGCCCACCGAGGCGACGAUGCGUAGGGGUUCUGAGAGGAAGGUCCCCCACACUGGUACUGAGACACGGUCCAA
RNAcentral lists this ribosomal RNA (313 nucleotides) under uncultured bacterium. Its description in RNAcentral is "bacterial SSU rRNA". It matches the Rfam family "Bacterial small subunit ribosomal RNA", at positions 28 to 334 of the family's 1533-position model. The record is from RNAcentral.